UAUACUGCAAGUCGAGCGGACAGAAGGGAGCUUGCUCCCGGAUGUUAGCGGCGGACGGGUGAGUAACACGUGGGUAACCUGCCUGUAAGACUGGGAUAACUCCGGGAAACCGGAGCUAAUACCGGAUAGUUCCUUGAACCGCAUGGUUCAAGGAUGAAAGACGGUUUCGGCUGUCACUUACAGAUGGACCCGCGGCGCAUUAGCUAGUUGGUGGGGUAAUGGCUCACCAAGGCGACGAUGCGUAGCCGACCUGAGAGGGUGAUCGGCCACACUGGGACUGAGACACGGCCCAGACUCCUACGGGAGGCAGCAGUAGGGAAUCUUCCGCAAUGGACGAAAGUCUGACGGAGCAACGCCGCGUGAGUGAUGAAGGUUUUCGGAUCGUAAAGCUCUGUUGUUAGGGAAGAACAAGUGCGAGAGUAACUGCUCGCACCUUGACGGUACCUAACCAGAAAGCCACGGCUAACUACGUGCCAGCAGCCGCGGUAAUACGUAGGUGGCAAGCGUUGUCCGGAAUUAUUGGGCGUAAAGGGCUCGCAGGCGGUUUCUUAAGUCUGAUGUGAAAGCCCCCGGCUCAACCGGGGAGGGUCAUUGGAAACUGGGAAACUUGAGUGCAGAAGAGGAGAGUGGAAUUCCACGUGUAGCGGUGAAAUGCGUAGAGAUGUGGAGGAACACCAGUGGCGAAGGCGACUCUCUGGUCUGUAACUGACGCUGAGGAGCGAAAGCGUGGGGAGCGAACAGGAUUAGAUACCCUGGUAGUCCACGCCGUAAACGAUGAGUGCUAAGUGUUAGGGGGUUUCCGCCCCUUAGUGCUGCAGCUAACGCAUUAAGCACUCCGCCUGGGGAGUACGGUCGCAAGACUGAAACUCAAAGGAAUUGACGGGGGCCCGCACAAGCGGUGGAGCAUGUGGUUUAAUUCGAAGCAACGCGAAGAACCUUACCAGGUCUUGACAUCCUCUGACAACCCUAGAGAUAGGGCUUUCCCUUCGGGGACAGAGUGACAGGUGGUGCAUGGUUGUCGUCAGCUCGUGUCGUGAGAUGUUGGGUUAAGUCCCGCAACGAGCGCAACCCUUGAUCUUAGUUGCCAGCAUUCAGUUGGNCACUCUAAGGGGACUGCCGGUGACAAACCGGAGGAANGNGGGGGAUGACGUCAAAUCUUCAUGCCCCUUAU
Molecule: ribosomal RNA, 1171 nt
Filed under: Bacillus safensis
Lineage: Bacteria; Bacillati; Bacillota; Bacilli; Caryophanales; Bacillaceae
Description: bacterial SSU rRNA
Rfam family: Bacterial small subunit ribosomal RNA
Source: RNAcentral